AUUUUCCUGGAGUGUUUGCCAGCCGAGAAGUCCCUGAGCCGAUAANAAUCCUAUGGCUUCUUUUUUGACAAAGCUGUUGAGCAGUUCCGUGCGAUGGAAAGCCUGAUGCGAUGCAAAAGUCGCCACCUUGAACUUUUCGGUUCAAGGCCACGUCGGCAGCGGCACUCUGGGACUCNG
Molecule: non-coding RNA, 177 nt
Filed under: Porticoccaceae bacterium
Lineage: Bacteria; Pseudomonadati; Pseudomonadota; Gammaproteobacteria; Cellvibrionales; Porticoccaceae
Description: 6S RNA
Rfam family: 6S / SsrS RNA
About the family: E. coli 6S RNA was the first non coding RNA to be sequenced, but its function was unknown until recently. It consists of 184 nucleotides that fold into an extended hairpin structure with a large single-stranded internal bulge.
Source: RNAcentral